ACUUAAAUUGAAGAGUUUGAUCAUGGCUCAGAUUGAACGCUGGCGGCAGGCCUAACACAUGCAAGUCGAGCGGUAGCACAGAGAGCUUGCUCUCGGGUGACGAGCGGCGGACGGGUGAGUAAUGUCUGGGAAACUGCCUGAUGGAGGGGGAUAACUACUGGAAACGGUAGCUAAUACCGCAUAAUGUCGCAAGACCAAAGUGGGGGACCUUCGGGCC
This 217-nucleotide ribosomal RNA is filed under the name Klebsiella pneumoniae. RNAcentral describes it as "partial 16S ribosomal RNA". It matches the Rfam family "Bacterial small subunit ribosomal RNA", at positions 1 to 219 of the family's 1533-position model. Lineage: Bacteria; Pseudomonadati; Pseudomonadota; Gammaproteobacteria; Enterobacterales; Enterobacteriaceae. The record is from RNAcentral.